CUACGGGGCGCACCAGUGGGGAAUAUUGGACAAUGGGGGAAACCCUGAUCCAGCAAUGCCGCGUGUGUGAAGAAGGCCUGCGGGUUGUAAAGCACUUUCGGUUGGGAGGACUGCUUCUAGCACUAAUAUUGUUGGAAGUUGACGUUACCUUCAGAAGAAGCACCGGCUAACUCCGUGCCAGCAGCCGCGGUGAAUACGGAGGGUGCAAGCGUUAAUCGGAAUUACUGGGCGUAAAGCGCGCGUAGGCGGCUAGAUCAGUCGGGUGUGAAAGCCCCGGGCUUAAACUGGGAACUGCAUCCGAUACUGGCUAGGUUGAGUAGAGGAGAGGAGAGUGGAAUUCCACAUGUAGCGGUGAAAUGCGUAGAUAUGUGGAGGAACACCAAUGGCGAAGGCAGCUCUCUGGCCUGAUACUGACGCUGAGGUGCGAAAGCGUGGGGAGCAAACAGGAUUAGAUACCCGAGUAGUC
This 466-nucleotide ribosomal RNA is filed under the name uncultured bacterium. RNAcentral's name for it is "partial 16S ribosomal RNA". It matches the Rfam family "Bacterial small subunit ribosomal RNA", at positions 339 to 795 of the family's 1533-position model. The record is from RNAcentral.